CUUCCCCCAUGAUCUCCUUGCAGCCUGCCCACACUGGCCUUAGGGUGACUUUCUGGAGAGGCAAGCAUCUUCAUGUGAGACCUGCCAAAGGGUGUAUACCUUCUCAAAAGACCCUGCAGUUUCUUCUCCAAUGUGGACAACGCUGAGCAUAUGAUCUUUCGGUGUCUAUCUGCACUUUCUUUGACCUAAUCACCCGAAGGGAUACCAUUUGAGUUCUGGGAGAGCUGCCUGCCGACUUCACAAAGACGUAUUCCUCUCAUUAAUGACUGUUAGUGUAGCAUCAUGCAAUGCUCCUGAGAAACUGCAGAAAUAGUAAUGACCAUGUGAUGGCCAAGGCUGAUUGGAAGAUGCUCCUGGGGAGAGAUGAAGUUUGGAUUUACAGCAUCAGCAUGAAGGAGUUGCAAGCAUUGGUGUUGUAAACCGCACUGGCACCUGACACUAAAUGUGGGAAAGGGAUGGGGU
This 462-nucleotide long non-coding RNA is filed under the name Homo sapiens (human). RNAcentral's name for it is "PREDICTED lncRNA (TCONS_00075073)". The record is from RNAcentral. Lineage: Eukaryota; Metazoa; Chordata; Mammalia; Primates; Hominidae.